Molecule: ribosomal RNA, 1444 nt
Filed under: uncultured organism
Description: SSU rRNA
Rfam family: Bacterial small subunit ribosomal RNA
Source: RNAcentral
UACAGGCUUAACACAUGCAAGUCGAGGGGCAGCAUGGUCUUAGCUUGCUAAGGCCGAUGGCGACCGGCGCACGGGUGAGUAACACGUAUCCAACCUGCCGUCUACUCUUGGACAGCCUUCUGAAAGGAAGAUUAAUACAAGAUGGCAUCAUGAGUCCGCAUGUUCACAUGAUUAAAGGUAUUCCGGUAGACGAUGGAGAUGCGUUCCAUUAGAUAGUAGGCGGGGUAACGGCCCACCUAGUCUUCGAUGGAUAGGGGUUCUGAGAGGAAGGUCCCCCACAUUGGAACUGAGACACGGUCCAAACUCCUACGGGAGGCAGCAGUGAGGAAUAUUGGUCAAUGGGCGAGAGCCUGAACCAGCCAAGUAGCGUGAAGGAUGACUGCCCUAUGGGUUGUAAACUUCUUUUAUAAAGGAAUAAAGUCGGGUAUGGAUACCCGUUUGCAUGUACUUUAUGAAUAAGGAUCGGCUAACUCCGUGCCAGCAGCCGCGGUAAUACGGAGGAUCCGAGCGUUAUCCGGAUUUAUUGGGUUUAAAGGGAGCGUAGAUGGAUGUUUAAGUCAGUUGUGAAAGUUUGCGGCUCAACCGUAAAAUUGCAGUUGAUACUGGAUAUCUUGAGUGCAGUUGAGGCAGGCGGAAUUCGUGGUGUAGCGGUGAAAUGCUUAGAUAUCACGAAGAACUCCGAUUGCGAAGGCAGCCUGCUAAGCUGCAACUGACAUUGAGGCUCGAAAGUGUGGGUAUCAAACAGGAUUAGAUACCCUGGUAGUCCACACGGUAAACGAUGAAUACUCGCUGUUUGCGAUAUACUGCAAGCGGCCAAGCGAAAGCGUUAAGUAUUCCACCUGGGGAGUACGCCGGCAACGGUGAAACUCAAAGGAAUUGACGGGGGCCCGCACAAGCGGAGGAACAUGUGGUUUAAUUCGAUGAUACGCGAGGAACCUUACCCGGGCUUAAAUUGCAGAUGAAUUACGGUGAAAGCCGUAAGCCGCAAGGCAUCUGUGAAGGUGCUGCAUGGUUGUCGUCAGCUCGUGCCGUGAGGUGUCGGCUUAAGUGCCAUAACGAGCGCAACCCUUGUUGUCAGUUACUAACAGGUUCCGCUGAGGACUCUGACAAGACUGCCAUCGUAAGAUGUGAGGAAGGUGGGGAUGACGUCAAAUCAGCACGGCCCUUACGUCCGGGGCUACACACGUGUUACAAUGGGGGGUACAGAGGGCCGCUACCACGCGAGUGGAUGCCAAUCCCCAAAACCUCUCUCAGUUCGGACUGGAGUCUGCAACCCGACUCCACGAAGCUGGAUUCGCUAGUAAUCGCGCAUCAGCCACGGCGCGGUGAAUACGUUCCCGGGCCUUGUACACACCGCCCGUCAAGCCAUGGGAGCCGGGGGUACCUGAAGUGCGUAACCGCGAGGAGCGCCCUAGGGUAAAACUGGUGACUGGGGCUAAGUCGU